UCUUUAGCUACAGAUCCUGUGUGAGGUGAUUUCAUCAAGGUCUCUAUAGCUACAGAUCAGACCCUGUGUGAGGUGAUUUCAUCAAAGUCUCUAUAGCUACAGACCCUGUGUGAGGUGAUAUAUAGCUAGCAAUGUAAAUGUAGCUAGCAAAGUAAUGUAAGUCGCUCUGGAUAAGAGCGUCUGCUAAAUGACUUAAAUGAAAAUGAAAUGAAAUGAAAAUAUAUAGCUAGGGAGAAGACCCGUGUGAGGCGAUAUAUAGCUAGCGAGAAGACCUGUGUGAGGUGAUAUAUAGCUAGGGAGAAGACCUGUGUGAGGUGAUAUAUAGCUAGGGAGAAGACCUGUGUGAGGUGAUAUAUAGCUAGGGAGAAGACCUGUGUGAGGUGAUAUAUAGCUAGGGAGAAGACCUGUGUGAGGUGAUAUAUAGCUAGGGAGAAUACCUGUGUGAGGUGAUAUAUAGCUAGGGAGAAGACCUGUGUGAGGUGAUAUAUAGCUAGGGAGAAGACCUGUGUGAGGUGAUAUAUAGCUA
This 526-nucleotide long non-coding RNA is filed under the name Salmo salar (Atlantic salmon). Its description in RNAcentral is "lncRNA (ENSSSAG00000121344.1)". The stretch from base 144 to 197 matches the Rfam family "UnaL2 LINE 3' element". The record is from RNAcentral. Lineage: Eukaryota; Metazoa; Chordata; Actinopteri; Salmoniformes; Salmonidae.